Molecule: ribosomal RNA, 243 nt
Filed under: Staphylococcus epidermidis
Lineage: Bacteria; Bacillati; Bacillota; Bacilli; Caryophanales; Staphylococcaceae
Description: partial 16S ribosomal RNA
Rfam family: Bacterial small subunit ribosomal RNA
Source: RNAcentral
CAGUAGGGAAUCUUCCGCAAUGGGCGAAAGCCUGACGGAGCAACGCCGCGUGAGUGAUGAAGGUCUUCGGAUCGUAAAACUCUGUUAUUAGGGAAGAACAAAUGUGUAAGUAACUAUGCACGUCUUGACGGUACCUAAUCAGAAAGCCACGGCUAACUACGUGCCAGCAGCCGCGGUAAUACGUAGGUGGCAAGCGUUAUCCGGAAUUAUUGGGCGUAAAGCGCGCGUAGGCGGUUUUUUAAG